This is a long non-coding RNA of Haliotis rubra (blacklip abalone), 2169 nucleotides long. RefSeq lists it as uncharacterized. The record is from RefSeq and is a predicted model, not a curated record. Lineage: Eukaryota; Metazoa; Mollusca; Gastropoda; Lepetellida; Haliotidae. The transcript has 2 exons.
AUAUAGCUGGAAUAUUGCUGAGUGCAGGGUAUAAUUAAACUCACUAUAAUGAACAAAUAUUGAAAUAUUGUUCAAUUUGCCUUCUCCAUUGGAUGACAUUUGCUUGAAAAGUAUAUGGCAUGCCAGCCUUAUUUUCAAAGACAGUCUACUGCACUGUUAUGAUUGGAGAUCUCACCGACUUGUUUUGCUCAAUGAUUGUUCCUAGUUGCUUGUGCCUGAGACUGAUGUUUGUGUGUGAUGUAUAACUUAUUUGUUACAGCUUGUAAGGUCAGUCUUCAGAAACAGUUUUGGUCAGUGUUGAUGUUUUUGUUUAGUUGGUUGAUAUUCUGUUGUAUUACUUGAGUUGUUAUGUUUAGUAUUGGCAUCCGUGUAUAUAAAGUGAUAUGGAAGAACACUAGUAGCUGAUUGCAGGUGUUGAAGAGGAGUUUUCUCACCUCUUAUACUUUCAAUCACAAGGUUGCUGAAUUGGUCACACAAAAUUCAAUAGAGAAAAAACAGUGUUGUUUUAUAAACUACCAUUUAAUAUGAGUUUGAAGUUUCAUGUUUACCCUAGGGUAAGAAGGUGUGGCCUGACAGAGAAAAGGUCUCGCAGGGAAGGCCUUGUAGAGAAGGUCUGGUAUAGUCAGAAGGCCUGUUAGAGUAUACCUGUUGAAGUCAGACGGCCUGGUAAAGUCAGACCGCCUGACAGAGAAGGUCUGGUAAAGUCAGAAGGCCUGGUAGAGAUGGCCUGGUAAAGUCAGACAGCUUGUUAGAGAAUGCCUGGCAAAGUCAGGAGGCCUGGUAAAGUCAGAAGGCCUGGUAGAGAUGGCCUGGUAAAGUCAGAUGGCUUGUUAGAGAAUGACUCGCAAAGUCAGGAGGCCUGGUAAAGUCAGAAGGCCUGGUAGAGAAGGUCUGGUAAUGUCAGAAGGCCGGGUAGAGAAGGCCUGGUAUAGUCAAAAGGGCUGGUAGAGGAGAAUACCUGGCAAACAGUGAAGGCCUGGGCCCAGUUCCACAAAGUGAUGUUAGUGGUAAGGUGACCAAAGCUCCCAUACCUCAACACAGACUUAUGAUCAUGGUAGCACUAAGAUUGCUUUGUGGAACAGGGCCCUGGUCAUUAUGGAGUAGCCCAGGCAUAUGUUGAGAAGGAUUGGUAAACAGCCCACAGUGUUUGCCACAAUCUGAGUGAUUCAAGAACUUUACUUCUUACCGCCGCCAUUUUGCAGAGUGUGGCGUAAAACAACAAACCAACAACCACAGAUAUAGCUCGGUAAUCUUCAUGCACUGAAUCCCAGGUGUAACAUAAUGGGGAUACAGUGACACAAACAUGUCAUGAUUCUAUACUGGUGUGACAUAUGUGACCGAUUUCGCUUUCAUUGAUUUUAUAUAAUUGUCAUAAUCAGGCAGAAUAGUAUGUUAGUUAUCCUGAACUAAUCAAUACUACUAGCAAACAGGAAUAAAAACAUAUGGCUUCACAAAUUCAUUUACGUCAAGCCUGAUUGUGUCUUCACAAUCCAAAAUAUUUUUCAAAUAUAUUUUCUGAACAGAGUUCCACCAUGUCACCUUCGCUCAUUAUUAACAUUAUUAAAAGGAACCCAUUUAUACUCUUUCCUCCAAUAUCAUCUGAAACUGAAAUAGCAGAUGUUCUUCAAAUGUUCACAGUGAAAUGAACACCACUUGUCGUGCAAGAUAGGCAGGUCUUGUACAGAGUUUAGAAGGGGACAGUGGCGUAGCUUAGUGGUUAAAGUGUUCGCUCGUCGAGCCCAAGUCUUGAUUCCCCACAUGGGUCAAAUUUGUGAAGGCCAUUUCUGGCGUCCCCUGCCAUGAUUUAGCUGGAAUAUUGCUAAAAUCAUACUAAAAAGUCAAAGUUCACAAACCUUGAUCAGUACAUAGAUGAUAUAUAUAUACAAAUGCUAUCUUAACACCUGACUUAUUCAAAUGCCAGAAAGUAUAACUAUAGAACAAUUGUCCAGCCAUGUCUGACUGGUCCAUUUUGAGAAUGUGAUUGGCUCGGAUUUAUACAAAUAGUCAAAUGGAUAAGAUAUUUUUAAACUGUCAGAUCUCUUCAUGGUAUAGAAAAAUGCAGAUAUAUUUCUUUCAAAGAUAUUUUUAGUAUAAGAGAAGGAGGCAGACAAAAGCGUUUUAAAUGUUCUGUGAAGUAAAUUCCUGAAAUCAAAUUAACAAAUAUACAGA